Molecule: ribosomal RNA, 253 nt
Filed under: uncultured bacterium
Lineage: Bacteria
Description: partial 16S ribosomal RNA
Rfam family: Bacterial small subunit ribosomal RNA
Source: RNAcentral
UACGUAGGGUGCAAGCGUUGUCCGGAAUUAUUGGGCGUAAAGAGCGUGUAGGCGGUUCGGUAAGUCUGCUGUGAAAUCCUGGGGCUCAACCCCGGGCGUGCAGCGGAUACUGCCGGGCUAGAGGGUGGUAGAGGCGAGUGGAAUUCCCGGUGUAGCGGUGAAAUGCGCAGAUAUCUGGAGGAACACCGGUGGCGAAGGCGGCAUCCUGGACCGGCAUUGACGCUGAGGCGCGAAAGCUAGGGGAGCAAACGGG